GUUGGUGAGGUAGUGGCUCACCAAGGCGACGACGGGUAGCCGGCCUGAGAGUUCGACCGGCCACACUUUGACUGAGACACGGAACAGACUCCUACGGGAGGCAGUUGUGGGGAAUAUUGCACAAUGGGCGAAAGCCUGAUGCAGCGACGCCGCGUGAGGGAUGACGGCCUUCGGGUUGUAAACCUCUUUCAGCAGGGAAGAAGCGAAAGUGACGGUACCUGCAGAAGAAGCGCCGGCUAACUACGUGCCAGCAGCCCCGGUAAUACGUAGGGCGCAAGCGUUGUCCGGAAUUAUUGGGCGUAAAGAGCUCGUAGGCGGCUUGUCACGUCGGUUGUGAAAGCCCGGGGCAUAACCCCGGGUCUGCAGUCGAUACGGGCAGGCUAGAGUUCGGUAGGGGAGAUCGGAAUUCCUGGUGUAGCGGUGAAAUGCGCAGAUAUCAGGAGGAACACCGGUGGCGAAGGCGGAUCUCUGGGCCGAUACUGACGCUGAGGAGCGAAAGCGUGGGGAGCGAACAGGAUUAGAUACCC
RNAcentral lists this ribosomal RNA (527 nucleotides) under Streptomyces sp. LP21. Its description in RNAcentral is "bacterial SSU rRNA". It matches the Rfam family "Bacterial small subunit ribosomal RNA", at positions 248 to 787 of the family's 1533-position model. Lineage: Bacteria; Bacillati; Actinomycetota; Actinomycetes; Kitasatosporales; Streptomycetaceae. The record is from RNAcentral.